Molecule: ribosomal RNA, 427 nt
Filed under: uncultured bacterium
Lineage: Bacteria
Description: partial 16S ribosomal RNA
Rfam family: Bacterial small subunit ribosomal RNA
Source: RNAcentral
UGGGGAAUAUUGGACAAUGGGCGAAAGCCUGAUCCAGCCAUGCCGCAUGAGUGAAGAAGGUCUUCGGAUUGUAAAGCACUUUAAGUUGGGAGGAAGGGCAUUAACCUAAUACGUUAGUGUUUUGACGUUACCGACAGAAUAAGCACCGGCUAACUCUGUGCCAGCAGCCGCGGUAAUAAAGAGGGUGCAAGCGUUAAUCGGAAUUACUGGGCGUAAAGCGCGCGUAGGUGGUUUGUUAAGUUGGAUGUGAAAUCCCCGGGCUCAACCUGGGAACUGCAUUCAAAACUGACUGACUAGAGUAUGGUAGAGGGUGGUGGAAUUUCCUGUGUAGCGGUGAAAUGCGUAGAUAUAGGAAGGAACACCAGUGGCGAAGGCGACCACCUGGACUAAUACUGACACUGAGGUGCGAAAGCGUGGGGAGCAAACA